GCGUUGAAAAGCUCGGGGAUGACUUGUGGGUAGCGGUGAAAUUCCAAUCGAGCCCGGAGAUAGCUGGUUCUCCCCGAAAUAGCUUUAGGGCUAGCCUCAAGGUGAGAGAUACGGAGGUAGAGCACUGAAUGUCCUAGGGGGUAUUGCACCUACCGAAGACUAUCAAACUCCGAAUGCCGUCAUCUUAUACUUGGGAGUCAGACUGUGGGUGAUAAGAUUCAUAGUCGAAAGGGCAACAGCCCAGAUCGUCAGCUAAGGUCCCUAAAUGUAAGUUAAGUGGUAAAGGAUGUGGGAUUGCACAGACAACCAGGAUGUUGGCUUAGAAGCAGCCACUCAUUCAAAGAGUGCGUAAUAGCUCACUGGUCGAGUGAUCCUGCGCCGAAGAUUUCCGGGGCUAAAACUUACUACCGAAGCUACGGCAUCAGUAAUGAUGGGUAGGGGAGCUUCCCAUACGGGUUGAAGCAUGACCGUAAGGACAUGUGGACAGUAUGGGAGUGAGAAUGUUGGCAUGAGUAGCGAGAUGUGGGUGAGAAUCCCACAGGCCGUAAACCCAAGGUUUCCAGGGGAAGGUUCGUCCGCCCUGGGUUAGUCGGGACCUAAGCUGAGGCCGAAAGGCGUAGGUGAUGGACAACAGGUUGAUAUUCCUGUACUACCGAUAACCGUUUGAGAGAAGGGAUGACACAGUAGGAUAAGCUAAGCACACUGUUGGUUAUGUGUGCCCAAGCAUUGAGGCAGUCAAAGUAGGCAAAUCCGCUUUGAUAAUGCUGGGAUGUGAUGGGGAGCGAAAUUUAGUAGCGAAGUAGCUGAUUUCACACUGUCAAGAAAAGUCUCUAUCGAGGUUAAAGGUACCCGUACCGCAAACCGACACAGGUGGGUGAGGAGAGUAUCCUAAGGCCAGCGAGAGAACUGUUGUUAAGGAACUCGGCAAAAUGACCCCGUAACUUAGGGAUAAGGGGUGCCACCAU
This 965-nucleotide ribosomal RNA is filed under the name Clostridioides difficile. RNAcentral describes it as "partial 23S ribosomal RNA". It matches the Rfam family "Bacterial large subunit ribosomal RNA", at positions 786 to 1757 of the family's 2925-position model. The record is from RNAcentral. Lineage: Bacteria; Bacillati; Bacillota; Clostridia; Peptostreptococcales; Peptostreptococcaceae.